RNAcentral lists this ribosomal RNA (253 nucleotides) under uncultured bacterium. Its description in RNAcentral is "partial 16S ribosomal RNA". It matches the Rfam family "Bacterial small subunit ribosomal RNA", at positions 524 to 776 of the family's 1533-position model. The record is from RNAcentral.
UACGGAGGGUGCGAGCGUUAUCCGGAUUCACUGGGUUUAAAGGGUGCGUAGGUGGGUUUGUAAGUCAGUGGUGAAAUCUCCAGGCUUAACCUGGAAACUGCCAUUGAUACUAUAGGUCUUGAAUAUUGUGGAGGUAAGCGGAAUAUGUCAUGUAGCGGUGAAAUGCUUAGAUAUGAUAUAGAACACCGAUAGCGAAGGCAGCUUGCUACACAAUCAUUGACACUGAGGCACGAAAGCGUGGGGAUCAAACAGG